Phacochoerus africanus (Common warthog) is the source of this 89-nucleotide small nucleolar RNA. Lineage: Eukaryota; Metazoa; Chordata; Mammalia; Artiodactyla; Suidae. The record is from RefSeq and is a predicted model, not a curated record.
GGACCCCCGUGAUGUCCAGCACUGGGCUCUGAACUUCUGUGAAGACGUGCUCCCCCAGGACCUUUGACACCCAGGGGUCCGAGGGGCCC